RNAcentral lists this ribosomal RNA (491 nucleotides) under uncultured bacterium. RNAcentral describes it as "partial 16S ribosomal RNA". It matches the Rfam family "Bacterial small subunit ribosomal RNA", at positions 29 to 506 of the family's 1533-position model. The record is from RNAcentral.
AGUGAACGCUGGCGGUAGGCCUAACACAUGCAAGUCGAACGGCAGCACAGUAAGAGCUUGCUCUUACGGGUGGCGAGUGGCGGACGGGUGAGGAAUACAUCGGAAUCUACUUUUUCGUGGGGGAUAACGUAGGGAAACUUACGCUAAUACCGCAUACGACCUACGGGUGAAAGCAGGGGAUCUUCGGACCUUGCGCGAUUGAAUGAGCCGAUGUCGGAUUAGCUAGUUGGCGGGGUAAAGGCCCACCAAGGCGACGAUCCGUAGCUGGUCUGAGAGGAUGAUCGGCCACACGGGAACUGAGACACGGUCCAGACGCCUACGGGAGGCAGCAGGGGGGAAUUUUGGAAAAGGGGCGAAAGCCUGAUCCAGCCAUACCGGGUGGGUGAAGAAGGCCUUCGGGUUGUAAAGCCCUUUUGUGGGGAAAGAAAAGCAGCAGGUUAAUACCCCGCUAUUCUGACGGGACCAAAAGAAUAAGCACCGGAUAACUUCGG